This 253-nucleotide ribosomal RNA is filed under the name uncultured bacterium. Its description in RNAcentral is "partial 16S ribosomal RNA". It matches the Rfam family "Bacterial small subunit ribosomal RNA", at positions 524 to 776 of the family's 1533-position model. The record is from RNAcentral.
GACGAACCGUCCAAACGUUAUUCGGAAUUACUGGGCUUAAAGGGUGCGUAGGCGGCGCGGAAAGUUGGGUGUGAAAUCCCUCGGCUCAACCGAGGAACUGCGCCCAAUACUACCGUGCCUGAGGGAGAUAGAGGUGAGCGGAACUUAGGGUGGAGCGGUGAAAUGCGUUGAUAUCCUAAGGAACACCGGUGGCGAAAGCGGCUCACUGGAUCUCUUCUGACGCUGAGGCACGAAAGCUAGGGUAGCGAACGGG